RNAcentral lists this ribosomal RNA (446 nucleotides) under uncultured bacterium. RNAcentral describes it as "bacterial SSU rRNA". It matches the Rfam family "Bacterial small subunit ribosomal RNA", at positions 330 to 792 of the family's 1533-position model. The record is from RNAcentral.
UCCAGACUCCUACGGGAGGCAGCAGUGGGGGAUAUUGCACAAUGGGGGGAACCCUGAUGCAGCGACGCCGCGUGGGUGAAGGAGCGUUUCGGCGCGUAAAGCCCUAUCGGCAGGGAAGAAGGAGGACGGUACCUGACUAAGAAGCCCCGGCUAACUACGUGCCAGCAGCCGCGGUAAUACGUAGGGGGCAAGCGUUAUCCGGAUUUACUGGGUGUAAAGGGGGCGCAGACGGCAGCGCAAGCCAGGAGUGAAAGCCCGGGGCCCAACCCCGGGACUGCUCUUGGAACUGCGCGGCUGGAGUGCAGGAGGGGCAGGCGGAAUUCCUAGUGUAGCGGUGAAAUGCGUAGAUAUUAGGAGGAACACCGGUGGCGAAGGCGGCCUGCUGGACUGUAACUGACGUUGAGGCUCGAAGGCGUGGGGAGCAAACAGGAUUAGAUACCCCAGUA